AUAACUGCAUUGUGGAAAGCUGUUGUGGUGUUGUCAAAUUUUCUGAAAACAAAACAAAAGACGAGUUUUCAAGAAAUUCUUCAUCCUUUCCGUCGAUGGAUUUCCUUAGUUCCUGUUAUAAUUGCAAAGACGAUCUUGGACAGGGCAAAGACAUUUACAUGUACAGGGGUGAGAAAGCCUUUUGUAGCCAUGAAUGCCGCUGCCAAGAAAUGUUUUCUGAAGGAAUGAAAAAUCCAGAGCUGGAUAGUUCUUUUUAGGACUUUUAUGUUAGAAGUGUGACUCAAAUAAGAGUCUAAUUGAAUUAUAUAUUUCUACUUUUUUUGGGACUUUUUUAGGGCUAGAUCAAGUGUACUAUAAAUAUAAGGCUCCUCUGUCAGUUUUAUUGAAGCAUCAUUGCUGUCCAAUUGUAAUUCUCUCCAUAUUAAUAAAAUUUGUCGUUCUUCUGCUUAA
This is a long non-coding RNA of Olea europaea var. sylvestris, 450 nucleotides long. RefSeq lists it as uncharacterized. The record is from RefSeq and is a predicted model, not a curated record. The transcript has 2 exons. Lineage: Eukaryota; Viridiplantae; Streptophyta; Magnoliopsida; Lamiales; Oleaceae.